CUUUACUGUAGCUUUGUAUUGGACUUUGAACAGAUCUGUGUAGGAUAGGUGGGAGGCUUUGAAGCGUGGUCGCUAGAUCAUGUGGAGCCAACGUUGAAAUACCACCCUGGUGUGUUUGAGGUUCUAACCUAGGUCCAUUAUCUGGAUCGGGGACAGUGCAUGGUAGGCAGUUUGACUGGGGCGGUCUCCUCCCAAAGCGUAACGGAGGAGUUCGAAGGUACGCUAGUUACGGUCGGACAUCGUGACGAUAGUGCAAUGGCAUAAGCGUGCUUAACUGCGAGACUGACAAGUCGAGCAGAUGCGAAAGCAGGACAUAGUGAUCCGGUGGUUCUGUAUGGAAGGGCCAUCGCUCAACGGAUAAAAGGUA
Molecule: ribosomal RNA, 367 nt
Filed under: uncultured organism
Description: bacterial LSU rRNA
Rfam family: Bacterial large subunit ribosomal RNA
Source: RNAcentral